RNAcentral lists this ribosomal RNA (427 nucleotides) under uncultured Methanocella sp. RNAcentral's name for it is "bacterial SSU rRNA". It matches the Rfam family "Archaeal small subunit ribosomal RNA", at positions 321 to 748 of the family's 1478-position model. The record is from RNAcentral. Lineage: Archaea; Methanobacteriati; Methanobacteriota; Methanomicrobia; Methanocellales; Methanocellaceae.
GCCUACGGGUGGCUGCAGGCGCGAAAACUCUACAAUGCAGGCAACUGCGAUAGGGGAACAUCGAGUGAUCCUCAUAUUGGGGGUCUGUCCCACCGUCUAAAAAACGGUGGUUAGCAAGGGCCGGGCAAGACCGGUGCCAGCCGCCGCGGUAAUACCGGCGGCUCGAGUGGUGGCCGAUAUUAUUGAGUCUAAAGGGUCCGUAGCCGGCUUUGCAAGUCUCUCGGGAAAUCCAGCGGCUUAACCGUUGGUCGUCCGGGGGGUACUACAUUGCUUGGGACUGGGAGAGGUAGGAGGUACUCAGGGGGUAGGAGUGAAAUCCUGUAAUCCUCUGGGGACCACCGGUGGCGAAGGCGUCCUACCAGAACAGGUCCGACGGUGAGGGACGAAAGCUAGGGGCACGAACCGGAUUAGAUACCCUGGUAGUCCG